RNAcentral lists this ribosomal RNA (1051 nucleotides) under Enterococcus faecium. Its description in RNAcentral is "bacterial SSU rRNA". It matches the Rfam family "Bacterial small subunit ribosomal RNA", at positions 417 to 1457 of the family's 1533-position model. Lineage: Bacteria; Bacillati; Bacillota; Bacilli; Lactobacillales; Enterococcaceae. The record is from RNAcentral.
AUCGGUUUGUAAAUGUGUUGUUAGAGAAGAACAAGGAUGAGGAGUAUGUUUCAUCCCUUGCUGUUUUUACCAGAAAGCCAUGGCUAAAUUACUGUGCUCAGCAGCCGCGGUAAUACGAAGUUGCAAGCGUGUCCGAAUUUAUUGGGCGUAAAAGCGAGCGCAAGGCGGUUUUCUUUAAGUUUUGAUGUGAAAGCCCCCGGCUCAACCCGGGGAGGGUCAUGGAAACUUGGGAGACUUGAGUGCAGAGGAGGAGAGUGGAAUUCCCAUGUGUAGCGGGUGAAAUGCGUAGAUAUAUGGAGGAACACCAGUGGCGAAGGCGGCUUUCUGGUCUGUAACUGACGUUGAGGCUCGAAAGCGUGGGGAGCAACCAGGAUUAGAUACCCUGGUAGUCCACGCGGUAAACGAUGAGUGUUAAGUGUUGGAGGGUUUCCGCCUUUCAGUGCUGCAGUUAACGCAUUAAGCAUUCCGCCUGGGGAGUACGACCGCAAGGUUGAAACUCAAAGGAAUUGACGGGGGCCCGCCCAAGCGGUGGAGCAUGUGGUUUAAUUGGAAGCAACGGGAAGAACCUUACCAGGUCUUGACAUCCUUUGACCACUUUAGAGAUAGAGUUUCCCCUUGGGGGGCAAAGUGACAGGUGGUGCAUGGUUGUCGUCAGCUGGUGUCGUGAGAUGUUGGGUUAAGUCCCGCAACGAGCGCAACCCUUAUUGUUAGUUGCCAUCAUUCAGUUGGGCAUUUUAGCAAGACUGCCGGUGCCAAACCGGAGGAAGGUGGGGAGGAGGUCAAAUCAUCAUGCCCCUUAUGACUUGGGUUACACACGUGUUCCAAUGGGAAGUACAACGAGUUGGGAAGUCGGGAGGUUAAGUUAAUUUUUUAAAGUUUUUUUCAGUUCGGAUUGCAGGUUGCAAUUCGCUUGCAGGAAGCCGGAAUCGUUAGUAAUCGGGGAUCAGCACGCCGCGGUGAAUACGUUCCCGGCCCUUGUACACACCGCCCGUCACACCACGAGAGUUUGUAACACCGGAAGUCGGUGAGGUAACCUUUGGAGCCAGCCGCC